RNAcentral lists this long non-coding RNA (386 nucleotides) under Coffea arabica (coffee). RNAcentral describes it as "long non-coding RNA (CARA_LNC006302)". The record is from RNAcentral. Lineage: Eukaryota; Viridiplantae; Streptophyta; Magnoliopsida; Gentianales; Rubiaceae.
GAAGGUUAUGGAGUAUAUAUACCGUCUCCCGUAAAUAAUUAAACUAGAGGUUUCCGAACUUGCUUCAAUUUGACAUCUACAAUACCAAACAAGAUUUAGAAGAACUUCGUCCGAAGCAAUUUACCAAUACACUGAAUUGUGGAUACGCACAACGGUGAAAAAAGAAAUAAACAAAAAACUCAAAUUUCUCAAAAUAAGCUUUGUAUCUAUAGCCAAUUUCCUGCUCUGCUUUAGAACCUCAGACCUUGCCCCGCCGCCUGCUUAGCAAUUCUACUUGAAUACUUUUCGGCUGAUAAUCUUGCUAACCCUGGAAGAAACUAUUAGCCAAGGUAUAAUCCCAACCUGAAGUUGUAAUAGACAAGUAAUCAGAAACCUCAUAAAGGUAA